This is a long non-coding RNA of Felis catus (domestic cat), 444 nucleotides long. RefSeq lists it as uncharacterized. The transcript has 2 exons. The record is from RefSeq and is a predicted model, not a curated record. Lineage: Eukaryota; Metazoa; Chordata; Mammalia; Carnivora; Felidae.
AUUAUUGACUGUGAUCACUACGCUGUGUACUAGGUCUCCGCCUGGGUCACGUGGAAUAUUAAUCUUUCUCCCUACUUUCUCUGAUCUGGCCUUUACACCUUCCCUCACGUAUAGAUAACAUGAUGGACUGACUUGUCCACACUCGUCCUGCUGCUUGGGAGUCAGGUGUGCGUGAUGGCUUUCCCACUGUGGUAAAGGUUACUAUCCGCCCACUCCAGUCUAACCAGUGUCAUUUUCCGUAAGAAUAUAGUUGUAGCUGGCAUGUGCAAUUUUUAAGAGACCUGUACUCCUCAGCCCCUGUGUGACGAGAGCUUCAACCAGACAGAUGACAACAGGGGAUGGCAGAGACGAGAUGGAAGGACCCGGGGGACCGGAGUGGCCAGAAGCUUGCCCAUCUUCCAAGACUACCACCCAUGAGAAAAAUAAACGUCAUUCUUUACGCUG